Molecule: long non-coding RNA, 989 nt
Filed under: Vulpes vulpes (red fox)
Lineage: Eukaryota; Metazoa; Chordata; Mammalia; Carnivora; Canidae
Description: lncRNA (ENSVVUG00000010704.1)
Source: RNAcentral
GUGCUACUCAGCACAAAAGUUAAAGGAGCAAUCGGGAACGCGUCGCGCCUGUGUGCUGAGCAGAGGACACCAUUAGCCCCGAGAAGCUCCGCUGCUCGGCUCGUCCCUCCUUGCCCGGGAAGUGCAGCUUCCAGGGAGGGACGGGAGCGAGCCUGCUGGGCCCGGGAAGCCCCCAGCGCCGCAGCCGCUGGCCGAGCCGGCUCUUGAAUGCAGAGCUGCCCCGGCGCCCGGCUGGCUCAGCCCGAUGCAGGAGCCUCCCCGCGGGCUCGGGACCCAGAUCGCCCCCGAGGCAGCUCCGGAGUUACUUUCCCUCUUGCAGGAGACCGAGACAGACCGAUGGUGAUGGGCGGUGCUGUGGGCUCGCGCCGGUGUCUCCCCGUCGUGUGACAUGCCCUAGCCGGGGUCCUAGCCGGGUCCCUGCGGACCACGAAGGGUGCGUGGCGGCCUCGGGAUGAGCCGGCGCACCCCCCCGCGCUGGCACCUCUCGCUGCCCCUCCGCGCGUGAUGUAACAUCAGACGUACCCUGCACUGGGAAGUCAGGACACACGAGCGCUCGCCGGCGCUCAGCCCCUCGCUCGCGCUCGCGCUCGCGCUCUCCCUCCCCGUGUCUCACGCGCGCAUCCCUCCACCUUCCACAUCCUGCUCCAGGCAGGAGGAGGCGGACCGGCCGGGCUCCUCGAGCCGAAGCAUCUCCAGUGACAUUUGUAAAUGACGCCGCGCGGGUCGGGGCCGCGAGCCGCCGCCGCCGCCGCCGCCGGGCCGAGGGCGCCGCGGAGCAGUCUGCAACGCGGGCUUCCUCCCCGGGCGACCACGAUGUCCGAGUUCGUCCUCGCCGUCCUCACGGUCUCGGGAUUACUGCCUGUCGCCAAGGUGCUGCCUGUGGGAGCCGACCGAGUAACUUUUAUGACCUACAUGCAAGCCAGAAGUAUUUAAUGUGAAUUGAAUGGAUAGGAAUAGAGAUCUCUUUCAGAGCAGUGGAUGAAAUCUUC